Molecule: ribosomal RNA, 629 nt
Filed under: gamma proteobacterium MR-CH-I15
Lineage: Bacteria; Pseudomonadati; Pseudomonadota; Gammaproteobacteria
Description: bacterial SSU rRNA
Rfam family: Bacterial small subunit ribosomal RNA
Source: RNAcentral
AUGCAGUCGAGCGGAUGAGAAGAGCUUGCUCUUCGAUUCAGCGGCGGACGGGUGAGUAAUGCCUAGGAAUCUGCCUGGUAGUGGGGGACAACGUUUCGAAAGGAACGCUAAUACCGCAUACGUCCUACGGGAGAAAGCAGGGGACCUUCGGGCCUUGCGCUAUCAGAUGAGCCUAGGUCGGAUUAGCUAGUUGGUGAGGUAAUGGCUCACCAAGGCGACGAUCCGUAACUGGUCUGAGAGGAUGAUCAGUCACACUGGAACUGAGACACGGUCCAGACUCCUACGGGAGGCAGCAGUGGGGAAUAUUGGACAAUGGGCGAAAGCCUGAUCCAGCCAUGCCGCGUGUGUGAAGAAGGUCUUCGGAUUGUAAAGCACUUUAAGUUGGGAGGAAGGGCAGUAAGAUAAUACCUUGCUGUUUUGACGUUACCGACAGAAUAAGCACCGGCUAACUCUGUGCCAGCAGCCGCGGUAAUACAGAGGGUGCAAGCGUUAAUCGGAAUUACUGGGCGUAAAGCGCGCGUAGGUGGUUUGUUAAGUUGGAUGUGAAAGCCCCGGGCUCAACCUGGGAACUGCAUCCAAAACUGGCAAGCUAGAGUACGGUAGAGGGUGGUGGAAUUUCCUGUGUAGCG